AUUGAACGCUGGCGGCAGGCUUAACACAUGCAAGUCGAACGAUGACUCUCUAGCUUGCUAGAGAAGAUUAGUGGCGGACGGGUGAGUAACAUUUAGGAAUCUGCCUAGUAGUGGGGGAUAGCUCGGGGAAACUCGAAUUAAUACCGCAUACGACCUACGGGUGAAAGGGGGCGCAAGCUCUUGCUAUUAGAUGAGCCUAAAUCAGAUUAGCUAGUUGGUGGGGUAAAGGCCCACCAAGGCGACGAUCUGUAACUGGUCUGAGAGGAUGAUCAGUCACACCGGAACUGAGACACGGUCCGGACUCCUACGGGAGGCAGCAGUGGGGAAUAUUGGACAAUGGGGGCAACCCUGAUCCAGCCAUGCCGCGUGUGUGAAGAAGGCCUUUUGGUUGUAAAGCACUUUAAGCAGGGAGGAGAGACUAAUGGUUAAUACCCAUUAGAUUAGACGUUACCUGCAGAAUAAGCACCGGCUAACUCUGUGCCAGCAGCCGCGGUAAUACAGAGGGUGCGAGCGUUAAUCGGAAUUACUGGGCGUAAAGCGAGUGUAGGUGGCUCAUUAAGUCACAUGUGAAAUCCCCGGGCUUAACCUGGGAACUGCAUGUGAUACUGGUGGUGCUAGAAUAUGUGAGAGGGAAGUAGAAUUCCAGGUGUAGCGGUGAAAUGCGUAGAGAUCUGGAGGAAUACCGAUGGCGAAGGCAGCUUCCUGGCAUAAUAUUGACACUGAGAUUCGAAAGCGUGGGUAGCAAACAGGAUUAGAUACCCUGGUAGUCCACGCCGUAAACGAUGUCUACUAGCCGUUGGGGUCCUUGAGACUUUAGUGGCGCAGUUAACGCGAUAAGUAGACCGCCUGGGGAGUACGGCCGCAAGGUUAAAACUCAAAUGAAUUGACGGGGGCCCGCACAAGCGGUGGAGCAUGUGGUUUAAUUCGAUGCAACGCGAAGAACCUUACCUGGUCUUGACAUAGUGAGAAUCCUGUAGAGAUGCGGGAGUGCCUUCGGGAAUUCACAUACAGGUGCUGCAUGGCUGUCGUCAGCUCGUGUCGUGAGAUGUUGGGUUAAGUCCCGCAACGAGCGCAACCCUUUUCCUUAUUUGCCAGCGGGUUAAGCCGGGAACUUUAAGGAUACUGCCAGUGACAAACUGGAGGAAGGCGGGGACGACGUCAAGUCAUCAUGGCCCUUACGACCAGGGCUACACACGUGCUACAAUGGUAGGUACAGAGGGUUGCUACACAGCGAUGUGAUGCUAAUCUCAAAAAGCCUAUCGUAGUCCGGAUUGGAGUCUGCAACUCGACUCCAUGAAGUCGGAAUCGCUAGUAAUCGCAGAUCAGAAUGCUGCGGUGAAUACGUUCCCGGGCCU
RNAcentral lists this ribosomal RNA (1355 nucleotides) under uncultured bacterium. RNAcentral describes it as "bacterial SSU rRNA". It matches the Rfam family "Bacterial small subunit ribosomal RNA", at positions 28 to 1381 of the family's 1533-position model. The record is from RNAcentral.